This 309-nucleotide unclassified non-coding RNA is filed under the name plant metagenome. RNAcentral's name for it is "partial contains 5.8S ribosomal RNA, internal transcribed spacer 2, and large subunit ribosomal RNA". The stretch from base 1 to 104 matches the Rfam family "5.8S ribosomal RNA", at positions 51 to 154 of the family's 154-position model. The record is from RNAcentral.
AAAUGCGAUAAGUAGUGUGAAUUGCAGAAUUCAGUGAAUCAUCGAAUCUUUGAACGCACAUUGCGCCCCUCGGUAUUCCGUGGGGCAUGCCUGUUCGAGCGUCAUCUACACCCUCAAGCUCUGCUUGGUGUUGGGCGUCUGUCCCGCCUCCUUCGCGCGCGGACUCGCCCCAAAUCCAUUGGCGGCGGCCCUUGCCUCCCUCUCGCGCAGCACAUUGCGCUUCUCGAGGCGCGGCGGACCGCGUCCAGCAAGCAACCGUCACACCGUCUUUGACCUCGGAUCAGGUAGGGAUACCCGCUGAACUCAAGC